This is a regulatory RNA element of Bacillus solimangrovi, 151 nucleotides long. It matches the Rfam family "Ribosomal protein L10 leader". From Rfam's summary of the family: This family is a putative r-protein leader autoregulatory structure found in B. subtilis and other low-GC Gram-positive bacteria. It is located in the 5' untranslated regions of mRNAs encoding ribosomal proteins L10 and L12 (rplJ-rplL). NCBI's taxonomy places the organism in Bacteria, Bacillati, Bacillota, Bacilli, Caryophanales, Bacillaceae. The record is from Rfam.
AAAAUAAAUAUUUAUAUACUGUAGACAGUAGGUGCUAUUGAGCUUAAUUUCCUGCUUAGGUGUAUUUCAUAGAUGUUAGCCAAUGAAGAAAGCUAAUCAUAUCAAUGAUGCCCCCAUGUCUACAAAGCGUGGGGGCUUUAUUAUACACAUC